CGGUGAACAGAAGCGAGAAGAGAACGGAGAGAAGAAGCGCGGGUGUUCCUCGCCGGAGAGAGCUAUAAUAGCACGAAACAUAAUCCCCGGGUGAAUCUAACGAGUCCUGUAAGAGCGAGCUGGACCAACGAGGGAUGAAGAAGAUGGUGUGAGAGACGAGUAAGGAUACGUGACUGCAGGACGAACAAGAGGAAGGAAGAUAGUCGAAAGAGUGUAAGAUUGAAAGUCAGAGAGGAAGAGGGGAAAGCGGUUCGGCGCCUCUCCGAUCAUUCUUCAGUCUAGCGCAACGACUCAUCGGCUUUUUUUGCCGCUGCGGCUCCGAAGAGACGUUCAAAUUGCUCUAAUGGCGGACCAAAGAGGAAAGUUAUGCCCGACAGAAAAAAGAAUUACGGUAUUUGGUUCCAAAAUGCGUGACACAGUCCUCACUUCGUUAUAAGAAAAUUAAUUCUCAAAAACAUCUCACAAUCAAGAUUAAAUUAUACAGCUGCCAGCUGGAGCCUAAGUAACUCUACAUCUUAGAGAUAAUAUUCGUAACAGAGUUUCUUAGAAACGAUGACUGGUGCUUUACAAGCAGCAAGAACUUGACACAGCUUAUGCAACAUCUCGUUUAAUGUCGAGAGUCACAAUUCGAUUAAACUUAAACAAGGCCGAUCUAUGUAAAUGGAAAAUUUCAGAUACCAAA
Molecule: long non-coding RNA, 682 nt
Organism: Bombus terrestris (buff-tailed bumblebee)
Lineage: Eukaryota; Metazoa; Arthropoda; Insecta; Hymenoptera; Apidae
Exons: 3
Source: RefSeq, a predicted model, not a curated record